UGCACAACUUUAGACACCAUCAUCCU
Molecule: non-coding RNA, 26 nt
Filed under: Homo sapiens (human)
Lineage: Eukaryota; Metazoa; Chordata; Mammalia; Primates; Hominidae
Source: RNAcentral